GACGAACGCUGGCGGCGUGCUUAACACAUGCAAGUCGAACGGAAAGGCCCUGCUUUUGUGGGGUGCUCGAGUGGCGAACGGGUGAGUAACACGUGAGUAACCUGCCCUUGACUUUGGGAUAACUUCAGGAAACUGGGGCUAAUACCGGAUAGAAGCUCCUGCUGCAUGGUGGGGGUUGGAAAGUUUCGGCGGUUGGGGAUGGACUCGCGGCUUAUCAGCUUGUUGGUGGGGUAGUGGCUUACCAAGGCUUUGACGGGUAGCCGGCCUGAGAGGGUGACCGGCCACAUUGGGACUGAGAUACGGCCCAGACUCCUACGGGAGGCAGCAGUGGGGAAUAUUGCACAAUGGGCGGAAGCCUGAGGCAGCAACGCCGCGUGCGGGAUGACGGCCUUCGGGUUGUAAACCGCUUUCGCCUGUGACGAAGCGUGAGUGACGGUAAUGGGUAAAGAAGCACCGGCUAACUACGUG
This 468-nucleotide ribosomal RNA is filed under the name uncultured bacterium. RNAcentral describes it as "partial 16S ribosomal RNA". It matches the Rfam family "Bacterial small subunit ribosomal RNA", at positions 28 to 507 of the family's 1533-position model. The record is from RNAcentral.